UAGUAUGGACAGAGAUACCCUGACAUAUA
RNAcentral lists this non-coding RNA (29 nucleotides) under Rattus norvegicus (Norway rat). Lineage: Eukaryota; Metazoa; Chordata; Mammalia; Rodentia; Muridae. The record is from RNAcentral.